RNAcentral lists this ribosomal RNA (467 nucleotides) under uncultured bacterium. RNAcentral describes it as "partial 16S ribosomal RNA". It matches the Rfam family "Bacterial small subunit ribosomal RNA", at positions 28 to 507 of the family's 1533-position model. The record is from RNAcentral.
GAUGAACGCUGGCGGCGUGCUUAACACAUGCAAGUCGAACGGAAAGGCCCAAGCUUGCUUGGGUACUCGAGUGGCGAACGGGUGAGUAACACGUGGGUGAUCUGCCCUGCACUUCGGGAUAAGCCUGGGAAACUGGGUCUAAUACCGGAUAGGACCACAUUUUGGAUGGUGUGGUGGAAAGUUUUUCGGUGUGGGAUGAGCUCGCGGCCUAUCAGCUUGUUGGUGGGGUAAUGGCCUACCAAGGCGUCGACGGGUAGCCGGCCUGAGAGGGUGUACGGCCGCAUUGGGACUGAGAUACGGCCCAGACUCCUACGGGAGACAGCAGUGGGGAAUAUUGCACAAUGGGCGCAAGCCUGAUGCAGCGAGGCCGCGUGGGGGAUGACGGCCUUCGGGUUGUAAACUCCUUUCGCUAGGGACGAAGCGUUUUUGUGACGGUACCUGGAGAAGAAGCACCGGCUAACUACGUG